Molecule: ribosomal RNA, 479 nt
Filed under: uncultured bacterium
Lineage: Bacteria
Description: partial 16S ribosomal RNA
Rfam family: Bacterial small subunit ribosomal RNA
Source: RNAcentral
GAUGAACGCUAGCGGGAGGCCUAACACAUGCAAGCCGAGCGGUAGAGUUCCUUCGGGAACUUGAGAGCGGCGUACGGGUGCGUAACACGUGUGCAACCUACCUUUAUCUGGGGGAUAGCCUUUCGAAAGGAAGAUUAAUACCCCAUAAUAUAAUGAUUGGCAUCAAUUAUUAUUGAAAACUCCGGUGGAUAGAGAUGGGCACGCGCAAGAUUAGAUAGUUGGUGAGGUAACGGCUCACCAAGUCAAUGAUCUUUAGGGGUCCUGAGAGGGAGAUCCCCCACACUGGUACUGAGACACGGACCAGACUCAUACGGGAGGCAGCAGUGAGGAAUAUUGGACAAUGGGUGAAAGCCUGAUCCAGCCAUCCCGCGUGAAGGAUGACGGUCCUAUGGAUUGUAAACUUCUUUUGGACAGGGAUAAACCUACUCUCGUGAGGGUAGCUGAAGGUACUGUACGAAUAAGCACCGGCUAACUCCGUG